GUUUAGGUAUGUAAGUGGUAUGUGUGACAGCAUCUGUCUGGGACCAGAAGAAUCACCAGAGACUCCAUUACAAUCAGCUUCAUAAUGGGCGUGAACGUCGUGCAUUUCUCCAAUUCAGAAUUUUGUUGCUUUUUUUCUGCCUAAAAUGGCUCGUUUGAUGAGAAAUGCUCCCAGAGCUCCACGAAAGCUCGGCCAGCAGCAAAGUUGGACAGCGGCUCGGUGCUCAAAGUGUCAUCGAACAUGAAAAAGGCCUUCCCUAUAAGCAUUUCCUUGGCCUUGACAGCUUGCUAAUGAGGCUAUUGAUUGCAGUAACACAUGCUGAUGAAGGAUCAAUGGGCCAGGCGCCAUAGGGUGACAUCUGUUAACAAUGCUGGAUGAUUAAUUUAAUAUGUGGCUGGGAAACUCAAUCUCUCUCUCUGGCCAAUCAUGCUGGAGGUAGCUCCCAUCGAAAAGAAGUGACGUUCACUGCAAGAAUGAAGAAACAAAGCAGGUCUCCAAUCAGUAAAAGCUUACCAAAGAGCUCCCUCUCAGCAACAAGAGAAUCCAAACCACAAUGGAUGAGAUUUCCCUCUGACUGCUGCCGAUGAAAUUUGUAGAUAAAGGCGGAGCUCCCCCACCUUGAACAAGCACGCACGCGCAAAGACACACAACGCAAACGUGCACACACAGACGGACACAAACAAACCGCAAUCAAAAUUUGACGGUUGUUUGUUGGAUACUGAAACAUGGACAGGUGUCACAGUUCAGCUUCACCCCCUCCUCGCGCUACUCAUCAGUCUGUCAUAAGUCCCCUCACCUGUUCUCUCACCUGCAUCUGAUCAUCCAUCAAACCACUGUACAGACUCCUGCUGCUCAGACACACAGGUUUUCCGUGACGGACCCUCCCGCGGACUGACACCCUGUUACCGACCCGGCCUGCCUUUCCCCGUUCUUCCCGCCUGGCCUGACUCCCGAUAUUUCCUCAACAGCUGGCUGCAAAACAGAGUUUGGUCUGGUCUGUGAGACAAUAAAAGCUCAGAGUCUGGCUAGACUUACUGUCAAAUCAAAGCGACAAGCACACAGGCCUCUGUAAACUCCCAUUAACCUGUGACUGAUGACCUGCUCAGACAGGGCUCCUGACAUCCAGCCCUCUCUGAGAAGUAGAUCGAC
Molecule: long non-coding RNA, 1149 nt
Organism: Gasterosteus aculeatus aculeatus (three-spined stickleback)
Lineage: Eukaryota; Metazoa; Chordata; Actinopteri; Perciformes; Gasterosteidae
Source: Ensembl